GACGAACGCUGGCGGCGUGCUUAACACAUGCAAGUCGUACGGUAAGGCCCUUUCGGGGGUACACGAGUGGCGCACGGGUGAGUAACACGUGAGUAACCUGCCCACAACUUUGGGAUAACGCUAGGAAACUGGUGCUAAUACUGGAUAUGUGCUCCUGCUGCAUGGUGGGGGUUGGAAAGCUCCGGCGGUUGUGGAUGGACUCGCGGCCUAUCAGCUUGUUGGUGGGGUAGUGGCCUACCAAGGCGGCGACGGGUAGCCGGCCUGAGAGGGUGACCGGCCACAUUGGGACUGAGAUACGGCCCAGACUCCUACGGGAGGCAGCAGUGGGGAAUAUUGCACAAUGGGCGCAAGCCUGAUGCAGCAACGCCGCGUGCGGGAUGACGGCCUUCGGGUUGUAAACCGCUUUCAGCAGGGACGAAGCUUUUUGUGACGGUACCUGCAGAAGAAGCACCGGCUAACUACGUG
RNAcentral lists this ribosomal RNA (465 nucleotides) under uncultured bacterium. RNAcentral describes it as "partial 16S ribosomal RNA". It matches the Rfam family "Bacterial small subunit ribosomal RNA", at positions 28 to 507 of the family's 1533-position model. The record is from RNAcentral.